Chrysemys picta bellii (western painted turtle) is the source of this 109-nucleotide ribosomal RNA. NCBI's taxonomy places the organism in Eukaryota, Metazoa, Chordata, Testudines, Emydidae. The record is from Ensembl.
UAUACAAAUCUUCAAGCCAUGCUACUUCAGGCUGUGAUCUCAUCAGAUCUCAUAAGUCAAGCAUGGCUUGGCUUGGUCAGUACUUGGUCAGGGAACCUCAGUGAUAUAA